This 497-nucleotide ribosomal RNA is filed under the name uncultured bacterium. RNAcentral's name for it is "partial 16S ribosomal RNA". It matches the Rfam family "Bacterial small subunit ribosomal RNA", at positions 28 to 507 of the family's 1533-position model. The record is from RNAcentral.
GAUGAACGCUGGCGGCGUGCCUAAUACAUGCAAGUCGAGCGAACGGACGAGAAGCUUGCUCCUCUGAUGUUAGCGGCGGACGGGUGAGUAACACGUGGAUAACCUACCUAUAAGACUGGGAUAACUUCGGGAAACCGGAGCUAAUACCGGAUAAUAUUUUGAACCGCAUGGUUCAAAAGUGAAAGACGGUCUUGCUGUCACUUAUAGAUGGAUCCGCGCUGCAUUAGCUAGUUGGUAAGGUAACGGCUUACCAAGGCAACGAUGCAUAGCCGACCUGAGAGGGUGAUCGGCCACACUGGAACUGAGACACGGUCCAGACUCCUACGGGAGGCAGCAGUAGGGAAUCUUCCGCAAUGGGCGAAAGCCUGACGGAGCAACGCCGCGUGAGUGAUGAAGGUCUUCGGAUCGUAAAACUCUGUUAUUAGGGAAGAACAUAUGUGUAAGUAACUAUGCACGUCUUGACGGUACCUAAUCAGAAAGCCACGGCUAACUACGUG